UUUGCAUAUAGCAACGGUCGAUACAGUCUCAUCCUUAAAACGUGUCUAGUGUGUGAUUGUAAAGAGUAUGACUUUGCAUUUAAUCCGGUUUUGAUUGCGCUUACCAACAGAUCGUCUCUAUUAUUGAACGCUCGAGGAUCAUUAAUGGGCUGUUUCAUCCACUGGGACCUUUUCCUACGCAGCCUAGCAUCAUGCUAUAGGUACAACAUAUUGAAGAGCAUGAUUGUCAAUUCUCUCACACAAAAGGGGUGGUGCCUGCAAUUGAAAUAAUCGCAGGACAUUUCUUCAUUCCAGAAUACAACAAUUGCAUAACUUUCUUGCCCGACUCUCUCUGUUUCUGCAUUACUUUGUUGUCGUCCAUGCCACCCUCCAUUUUGAAGAUGAAGAAAGCAGCCAGUUUUGCAUUCUUCUUGGCAGUGGUGGUUCUUUUUGUUUGCAAAUUACAUGCGACGGAGGCUAUCAAUUGCAGCCCGCUGGAGCUGAGUUCGUGAGUGUUGGCAAUAAUGUUGUCUUUACCACCGUCGGAUGAAGGGCAGGAACGUUGCCUUUGUGAGUAUUAAAGAGAUAAUAUAUUAACUCUCCCAAUGCCAGGAGGGUUGCUAACAUCUGUAGUGUUCCCGCUCCUAUGUGCUAAUCUGAAAACUUCACCUCAAGCGUUAAGAGUGCUACAUUGGAAAAGGAUGAAUGGAUUUGCUGGCUUCGUAUCUCCAUUAAUCAUCUCAUAAAAUGGCUUUGAUUUAUCCUUUUCUUUUAAUACUGUGUGUUGAUAUCUGAAACUUACCUCUUUUAAGAUCUUUUUUCGAAUACGGUUCUCUCUCCAAUUUCCAACUCUAACUAGUCUUGGAAGAAGUACCAGUGUCACUUCUGCAUAGGUCAUGUGACAUUUAAGAGAAUGAGGUUGGAAACUAUA
This is a long non-coding RNA of Olea europaea var. sylvestris, 910 nucleotides long. RefSeq lists it as uncharacterized. The record is from RefSeq and is a predicted model, not a curated record. Lineage: Eukaryota; Viridiplantae; Streptophyta; Magnoliopsida; Lamiales; Oleaceae. The transcript is spliced from 3 exons.